This 427-nucleotide ribosomal RNA is filed under the name uncultured bacterium. RNAcentral describes it as "partial 16S ribosomal RNA". It matches the Rfam family "Bacterial small subunit ribosomal RNA", at positions 355 to 774 of the family's 1533-position model. The record is from RNAcentral.
UGGGGAAUAUUGGACAAUGGGCGAAAGCCUGAUCCAGCCAUGCCGCGUGUGUGAAGAAGGUCUUCGGAUUGUAAAGCACUUUAAGUUGGGAGGAAGGGCAUUAACCUAAUACGUUAGUGUUUUGACGUUACCGACAGAAUAAGCACCGGCUAACUCUGUGCCAGCAGCCGCGGUAAUACAGAGGGUGCAAGCGUUAAUCGGAAUUACUGGGCGUAAAGCGCGCGUAGGUGUGUUGUUAAGUUGGAUGUGAAAUCCCCGGGCUCAACCUGGGAACUGCAUUCAAAACUGACUGACUAGAGUAUGGUAGAGGGUGGUGGAAUUUCCUGUGUAGCGGUGAAAUGCGUAGAUAUAGGAAGGAACACCAGUGGCGAAGGCGACCACCUGGACUAAUACUGACACUGAGGUGCGAAAGCGUGGGGAGCAAACA